Molecule: ribosomal RNA, 483 nt
Filed under: uncultured Escherichia sp.
Lineage: Bacteria; Pseudomonadati; Pseudomonadota; Gammaproteobacteria; Enterobacterales; Enterobacteriaceae
Description: bacterial SSU rRNA
Rfam family: Bacterial small subunit ribosomal RNA
Source: RNAcentral
GAUUGAACGCUGGCGGCAGGCCUAACACAUGCAAGUCGAACGGUAACAGGAAGAAGCUUGCUGCUUUGCUGACGAGUGGCGGACGGGUGAGUAAUGUCUGGGAAACUGCCUGAUGGAGGGGGAUAACUACUGGAAACGGUAGCUAAUACCGCAUAACGUCGCAAGACCAAAGAGGGGGACCUUCGGGCCUCUUGCCAUCGGAUGUGCCCAGAUGGGAUUAGCUUGUUGGUGGGGUAACGGCUCACCAAGGCGACGAUCCCUAGCUGGUCUGAGAGGAUGACCAGCCACACUGGAACUGAGACACGGUCCAGACUCCUACGGGAGGCAGCAGUGGGGAAUAUUGCACAAUGGGCGCAAGCCUGAUGCAGCCAUGCCGCGUGUAUGAAGAAGGCCUUCGGGUUGUAAAGUACUUUCAGCGGGGAGGAAGGGAGUAAAGUUAAUACCUUUGCUCAUUGACGUUACCCGCAGAAGAAGCACCGGCUA